AUCCUGGCUCAGGAUGAACGCUAGCUACAGGCUUAACACAUGCAAGUCGAGGGGAACGAUAUUGGGAAGCUUGCUUCCGAUAGGGCGUCGACCGGCGCACGGGUGAGUAACGCGUAUCCAACUGCCCAGUCACUUGGGGAUAACCUUGCGAAAGUAAGACUAAUACCCAAUGACGUCUCUAGAAGACAUCUGAAGGAGAUUAAAGAUUUAUCGGUGAUGGAUGGGGAUGCGUCUGAUUAGCUUGUUGCGGGUAACGCCCACCAAGGCGACGAUCAGUAGGGGUUCUGAGAGGAAGGUCCCCCACAUUGGAACUGAGACACGGUCCAAACUCCUACGGGAGGCAGCAGUGAGGAAUAUUGGUCAAUGGACGAGAGUCUGAACCAGCCAAGUAGCGUGCAGGAUGACGGCCCUAUGGGUUGUAAACCUGCUUUUAUAAGGGAAUAAAGUGGGAGUCGUGACUCUUUUUGCAUGUACCUUAUGAAUAAGGACCGGCUAAUUCCGUG
Molecule: ribosomal RNA, 503 nt
Filed under: uncultured bacterium
Lineage: Bacteria
Description: bacterial SSU rRNA
Rfam family: Bacterial small subunit ribosomal RNA
Source: RNAcentral